Molecule: non-coding RNA, 1329 nt
Organism: Gasterosteus aculeatus aculeatus (three-spined stickleback)
Lineage: Eukaryota; Metazoa; Chordata; Actinopteri; Perciformes; Gasterosteidae
Source: RefSeq, a predicted model, not a curated record
AAAUAUGGACCAAAGUCAAAUGGACUCAUAUUAAUUAUUAUCGCCCCGGGGGGACCCCCCUGCCCCCCUCUAUGCCCCCCCCACACACACAGACACACACAGCCUACAGAGCUGCGGCACGUUUAGGCUACUUCAAGGACCCUCUGUGUCUCCUGCAAACAAUCUUUUUUUCUGUUGGUAGAGGAGGAAAAACAAACCUGCGGGAAUAACAUGGCUGCUCGGGCUGCCGGUCACUAGCGGCAGCCACCGGGUAUCAUUGCCGGUUUGUGUUGUCAAUUAGCGGGUUACUUGUUGUUCCUUUGUUGCAGUAAUUACUCCUGAAGUCAAUUGAGAAGUUCAACUCAGAGCAGACACGUGUCAGCUGCUGCGAAAACACUAAAGAAAAGGCCAAUCUGCUGCCAACGGACAGCCUCUCCCAACAUAUUGGGUCUUGGCACCGCGCCACAUGACUUGUGUGCAGCCACUGACAUGACUGACCGCUGUUCAAAUCCACUGGGACCGAAACCACCCUUCAGUUUCAUCGUCCACGUGUCUUUGCUUCUUUAGCAAAACACCAAGCUCCCCCUCUGUUAUGUUAAAAACCUUAUUUUACUUUUGUUGUUUGCAGUCAUAAAAAAGAAGGGGUUUCCCCAAUUUUGCUGUACUUAUCCCGACCAGCAGAGUGCGCCACUUUGGCAGUGCAGCCUGAGGGGAGAUUAACCUGCAGGUCUCUGAGUAAAAGGGAGGACACACACACACACACACAAAUUCAAAAACUCUCUCGCUGUGAAAGAAGUAUACACAUGCAAGGGUGCCGACGCAGGUUCAAUGACUUUGAUCGUGUAAUUCCUGCGUAAUCUCUGUAAUCUUUUAAAGCAGAGCUGUUUAAAUGUAUGUUGCAUGUGCGCAAUUGUGAGUGUGUGUGUGUGUGUGUGUGAGUGAAGAUGUGUGAAAUGUUCACUGGAUUAACAAGAUGAAGCAGAGGCCGGGAAUACAGCUAAAGAGAAAUCUUUAAGAAUCAAACGUUCUUUCAGAUUUCUGCUCAGACCAGCAGGCUGGAGUUGGAGGCUGCGCGUGUUGUGUUUAUGACACAAAGAAAUUCUCAUAUUCAGCUUGUUUAAAGAGUUCAUUCGGUGUCUUAUCCGUGGAGUGGGUGUGAGUUUUAUUUGGCAGCUGAACAGAUAUUUUCUACACUCUGCAGUCUUCACAUCAGGCAGCACACUUUGACCGACCUGUCAUUGUAAUUAUAAGGUUCUAUUGGAUGUAAGUCAGUGAUGAUACUUCUCUUUGUUGCAUGACAACAAUUGAAAAUCACAUGGAUGCGAGCAAAAUAAAUCACGAUCAUGAGAA